CUCUUCUGUUCCUGCAAACCCCAGAGAACAUGCUGUAUGAGUGUGAUGGAAAUAAUUUCACUUUCUCUGACUUAUGAUUAGUGAAGAGGAUUUCAGGCUGGCAUCAAGUUACAGAGAUGGGGCCUGGAUGUGUUGCUUAGGCUGUGUGAAACACCUGGUCUUAAGCGAUCCUCUCACCCUGGCCUCCCAAAGCAUUGGGAUUACAGGGAGAAAAGAAUGGGAACUGUGAGGAAAAGAAUGACAUGAACAAUGGGAAGACCAAGGUCCCAGCACAAGUAGUAGAUGCUGAGGAAAGAAGAAGUAUGUUGUGGAGUAAGUGAGUGGGCCUGAGUUGAGAAGAUCCUGGCCUUGGAUUUUAAAACUGUCAGGUGACUAUGGUUGUGCUGGUCUCUGCUUUUCAUUAUGGAUAUAUGUGAGCUUUAUUUUCUAUUAAGUGGAAGAUCA
RNAcentral lists this long non-coding RNA (444 nucleotides) under Homo sapiens (human). RNAcentral's name for it is "non-protein coding lnc-N6AMT1-1:15". The record is from RNAcentral. Lineage: Eukaryota; Metazoa; Chordata; Mammalia; Primates; Hominidae.